Molecule: long non-coding RNA, 611 nt
Organism: Lycium ferocissimum
Lineage: Eukaryota; Viridiplantae; Streptophyta; Magnoliopsida; Solanales; Solanaceae
Exons: 3
Source: RefSeq, a predicted model, not a curated record
GGGGUACAAAAGUAACGGCGGUACGGGCAGGAUAAUUUUUUUUUGUUUGAGGGGGAGCAUCGGUGAUCUUUCCCCUUUAAUCAAUUCGUGUUAAUUCAGAAGACGAUGCAACGACGAAGGAGAAAUUGAGAAGGCCCAAAUUGGUUUCUUCUAAAGGGUUGGUUUAUUGUGUCUAGGCUGAAGAGAGAUGCAGUUUGCUAUGUCUGAAGAUAGUGGAAAUCAACAAAUCAAGUUUAGCAAGCUGGUGUGAUACCAUAUUUAAGUCAGCUAAAGUUUCCAUGAUUCCACAUUUAAGGCACCCAUCCCUGAAGAGAUGGAUUAACAGUGACUUCCUCAUCAGUGUGACCACAUUGUGAUUUGUGAAAGUUCCUCUUCGUUUCAAGUGUCGUCUUGGUUGAAACAUGUAUUCUCCCCAAGAUUGUCCAUAAAUGAGGAGAAUUGUUGAGUGGUUAAUCAAAUCGAUUAUGUCUUAACUCUAAGUAAGGUUGAUUGACACUAUAUUUCUCUAUGUCCAUUCCACUCAAUUCAGGUUCAUUUGAACUCAAGUAGUUCAACUAUUUUUGUACGAUGAUUGUGAUAAGCCUAUUGAUAGAUAAAAGAAUUAAAGUUCA